GAUGAACGCUAGCGACAGGCUUAACACAUGCAAGUCGAGGGGCAGCACAGGUAGCAAUACCGGGUGGCGACCGGCGCACGGGUGAGUAACGCGUAUGCAACUUACCUAUCAGAGGGGGAUAACCCGGCGAAAGUCGGACUAAUACCGCAUGAAGCAGGGGUCCCGCAUGGGGAUAUUUGCUAAAGAUUCAUCGCUGAUAGAUAGGCAUGCGUUCCAUUAGGCAGUUGGCGGGGUAACGGCCCACCAAACCGACGAUGGAUAGGGGUUCUGAGAGGAAGGUCCCCCACAUUGGUACUGAGACACGGACCAAACUCCUACGGGAGGCAGCAGUGAGGAAUAUUGGUCAAUGGCCGAGAGGCUGAACCAGCCAAGUCGCGUGAGGGAUGAAGGUUCUAUGGAUCGUAAACCUCUUUUAUAAGGGAAGAAAGUGCGGGACGUGUCCCGUUUUGUAUGUACCUUAUGAAUAAGGAUCGGCUAACUCCGUG
RNAcentral lists this ribosomal RNA (485 nucleotides) under uncultured bacterium. Its description in RNAcentral is "partial 16S ribosomal RNA". It matches the Rfam family "Bacterial small subunit ribosomal RNA", at positions 28 to 507 of the family's 1533-position model. The record is from RNAcentral.